Long non-coding RNA from Mustela lutreola (European mink), 448 nucleotides. RefSeq lists it as uncharacterized. The record is from RefSeq and is a predicted model, not a curated record. Lineage: Eukaryota; Metazoa; Chordata; Mammalia; Carnivora; Mustelidae. The transcript is spliced from 2 exons.
GCCGAGCUUGGGACUGAGGUGACCGAGGCCGAGCUGCGGGAGGUCGGGCUUGGGGACCCGGCGGGCGGGGCGAGGUCGCUCCGCGCCGCCCACGCCGGAUGCACAGCCGGCCCUCUUCGCGCCCACGUACCCACGUGAGCGCCCAGCCGGCGACAUUCCUACAUCCCCCUCCCCGCCCGCUCCUACCCCUCCGAGCGGAGAGCGGAGUUUCACAACCACGCGCGGGUACACAAAAACACGGAGAAGCGCACGAACGUGCACACGCGCCUCAACAACUACGCGGACGCCCGCUGCCCACACUCCGGCCUCGCGAUGCUGGUUGUCGUGAGGUUCAAAUGAGAAGAUGUGUAUGAAGACUCUGUAAAGUGCCAAGCAAAUUUAAGACGUUAUUGCUAGUUUGUGCCUCUGUAUCCUCAGAUAAUGUAUUUAUAUGUUUCUUUACAUCGAA